RNAcentral lists this ribosomal RNA (813 nucleotides) under uncultured bacterium. RNAcentral describes it as "bacterial SSU rRNA". It matches the Rfam family "Bacterial small subunit ribosomal RNA", at positions 141 to 987 of the family's 1533-position model. The record is from RNAcentral.
GGACAACUUGGGGAAACUUAAGCUAACACUUUAUACGUCCUUCGGGAGAAAGCUUUAUGCGCUAUUGGAUGGGCCCGCGUUAGAUUAGUUUGUUGGUGAGGUAACGGCUCACCAAGACUACGAUCUAUAGCUGGUCUGAGAGGAUGAUCAGCCACACUGGGACUGAGACACGGCCCAGACUCCUACGGGAGGCAGCAGUGGGGAAUAUUGGACAAUGGGGGCAACCCUGAUCCAGCGAUGCCGCGUGAGUGAUGAAGGCCCUAGGGUUGUAAAACUCUUUCGUCAGGGAAGAUAAUGACGGUACCUGAAGAAGAAGAUCCGGCUAACUCCGUGCCAGCAGCCGCGGUAAUACGGAGGGAUCUAGCGUUAUUCGGAAUUACUGGGCGUAAAGCGAGCGUAGGCGGAUUUGUAAGUUGGAGGUGAAAUCCCAGAGCUUAACUCUGGAACUGCCUUCAAAACUACAUUUCUUGAGUUUGGUAGAGGAGAGUGGAAUUCCUAGUGUAGAGGUGAAAUUCGUAGAUAUUAGGAGGAACACCAGUGGCGAAGGCGACUCUCUGGGCCAAUACUGACGCUGAGGUUCGAAAGCAUGGGUAGCGAACAGGAUUAGAUACCCUGGUAGUCCAUGCAGUAAACGAUGAGUGCUAGAUGUUGGGAAUUUUAAAUUUCCAGUAUCGCAGUUAACGCGUUAAGCACUCCGCCUGGGAAGUACGGCCGCAAGGCUAAAACUCAAAUGAAUUGACGGGGACCCGCACAAGCGGUGGAUCAUGUGGUUUAAUUCGAAGAUACGCGAAGAACCUUACCGGCUCUUGACAU